RNAcentral lists this unclassified non-coding RNA (217 nucleotides) under soil metagenome. RNAcentral describes it as "partial contains 5.8S ribosomal RNA, internal transcribed spacer 2, and large subunit ribosomal RNA". The record is from RNAcentral.
AAGACUAUAGACCUGCGGAGUACCUGCGGAAGGAUCAUUACAAGUGACCCCGGUCUAACCACCGGGAUGUUCAUAACCCUUUGUUGUCCGACUCUGUUGCCUCCGGGGCGACCCUGCCUUCGGGCGGGGGCUCCGGGUGGACACUUCAAACUCUUGCGUAACUUUGCAGUCUGAGUAAACUUAAUUAAUAAAUUAAAACUUUUAACAAUGGAUCUCU